RNAcentral lists this ribosomal RNA (407 nucleotides) under uncultured bacterium. Its description in RNAcentral is "partial 16S ribosomal RNA". It matches the Rfam family "Bacterial small subunit ribosomal RNA", at positions 30 to 526 of the family's 1533-position model. The record is from RNAcentral.
AUUGAACGCUGGCGGCAGUCCUAACACAUGCAAGUCGAGCGGCGCGGCGGACGGGUAAGUAAUGCCUAGGAAUCUGCCUGUUCGUGGUGGAUAACGUACCGAAACGGGCGCUAAUACCCCAUACUAUCAGAUUAGCCUAGGUCGAAUUAGCUAGUUGGUGGGGUAAAGGCCUACCAAGGCGACGCUCCGUAACUGGUCUUAGAGGAUGAUCAGUCCCACUGGAACUGAGACACGGUCCAGACGCCUACGUGAGGCAGCAGUGGGGAAUAUUGGACAAUGGGCGAAAGCCUGAGGCAGCCAUGCCGCGUGUGUGAAGAAGGUCUUCGGAUUGUAAAGCACUUUAAGUUGGGAGGCGUUACCAACAGAAUAAGCACCGGCUAACUUCGUGCCAGCAGCCGCGGUAAUUC